RNAcentral lists this transfer RNA (85 nucleotides) under Felis catus (domestic cat). It matches the Rfam family "tRNA". Rfam says of the family: Transfer RNA (tRNA) molecules are approximately 80 nucleotides in length. Their secondary structure includes four short double-helical elements and three loops (D, anti-codon, and T loops). Further hydrogen bonds mediate the characteristic L-shaped molecular structure. tRNAs have two regions of fundamental functional importance: the anti-codon, which is responsible for specific mRNA codon recognition, and the 3' end, to which the tRNAs corresponding amino acid is attached (by aminoacyl-tRNA synthetases). tRNAs cope with the degeneracy of the genetic code in two manners: having more than one tRNA (with a specific anti-codon) for a particular amino acid; and 'wobble' base-pairing, i.e. permitting non-standard base-pairing at the 3rd anti-codon position. Lineage: Eukaryota; Metazoa; Chordata; Mammalia; Carnivora; Felidae. The record is from Rfam by way of RNAcentral.
GCCUGGGUGGCUUAGUCGGUUAAGCGUCUGACUUCAGCUCAGGUCAUGAUCUCACAGUCUGUGAGUUUGAGCCCCGCGUCGGGCU